RNAcentral lists this transfer RNA (64 nucleotides) under Parvasolenaia rivularis. RNAcentral's name for it is "Solenaia rivularis tRNA-Trp". The record is from RNAcentral. Lineage: Eukaryota; Metazoa; Mollusca; Bivalvia; Unionida; Unionidae.
AAAGAUUUAAGUUAAGUAAACUAAUAGCCUUCAAAGCUUUAAUUGAUCUACAAUCAAUCUUUAC